UUUUUUUUCCCCUUCCUUCAUCUCCUGGCCUCGGAUAAGAUAAGGCUUGGGGUAUGCACGAAAUAAUCGAAGUGAUUGAUUAGACCUGGCAUGGCUUGGUUGGGCUGGAGAAAGAUCGGGGCGCGCUGGAAACCCCGCGUGAAGAUGAAAUGACUUUUUCGAAAGACUUAUCUUUCUGCAGGCUCGCCUCUGAGCUUUGUCUCCUUGGAGCCACCUCACUUAGACAGCUUCGGAUGUGGAUGCAGAUUUGAACCAUGUUGCGUCCCCAGGGACUGCUAUGGCUCCCUUUGUUAUUCACCUCUGUCUGUGUCAUGUUAAACUCCAAUGUUCUUCUGUGGAUAACUGCUCUUGCCAUCAAGUUCACCCUCAUUGACAGCCAAGCACAGUAUCCAGUUGUCAACACAAAUUAUGGUAAAAUCCAGGGCCUAAGAACACCAUUACCCAGUGAGAUCUUGGGUCCAGUGGAGCAGUACUUAGGGGUCCCCUAUGCCUCACCCCCAACUGGAGAGAGGCGGUUUCAGCCCCCAGAAUCCCCAUCCUCCUGGACUGGCAUCCGAAAUGCUACUCAGUUUGCUGCUGUGUGCCCCCAGCACCUGGAUGAAAGAUUCUUAUUGCAUGACAUGCUGCCCAUCUGGUUUACCGCCAAUUUGGAUACUUUGAUGACCUAUGUUCAAGAUCAAAAUGAAGACUGCCUUUACUUAAACAUCUAUGUGCCCACGGAAGAUGGAACCAACAUAAAGAGAAACGCAGACGAUAUAACCAGUAAUGACCAUGGUGAAGAUGAAGAUAUUCAUGAACAGAACAGUAAGAAGCCAGUUAUGGUCUAUAUCCAUGGGGGAUCCUACAUGGAGGGAACCGGUAACAUGAUUGAUGGCAGCAUUUUGGCCAGCUAUGGGAACGUCAUCGUUAUCACCAUUAACUACCGUCUGGGAAUACUAGCACAAAACACCCUGGCUCAUGGAAACUGCAAGCAUCGUUGUCAGCUGCACCUGCAGGCACCAUGGGAUUGCAAGUCAGCAUACCCUUUCAGAAAUGAGGAUGAAAUUAGAGAUGGAGUGUUGCUCUGUCACCCAGGCUGAAGUGCAGUGGCAUGAUCUUGGCUCACUGCAACCUCUGCUUCCCAGGUUCAGGCAAUUCUUCUGCCUUAGCAUCCUGAGUAGCUGAAAUUACAGGGUUUUUAAGUACCGGUGACCAGGCAGCAAAAGGCAACUAUGGGCUCCUGGAUCAGAUUCAAGCACUGCGGUGGAUUGAGGAGAAUGUCGGAGCCUUUGGCGGGGACCCCAAGAGAGUGACUAUCUUUGGCUCAGGGGCUGGGGCCUCCUGUGUCAGCCUGUUGACCCUGUCCCACUACUCAGAAGGUCUCUUCCAGAAGGCCAUCAUUCAGAGCGGCACCGCCCUGUCCAGCUGGGCAGUGAACUACCAGCCGGCCAAGUACACUCGGAUAUUGGCAGACAAGGUCGGCUGCAACAUGCUGGACACUACGGACAUGGUAGAAUGUCUGAAGAACAAGAACUACAAGGAGCUCAUCCAGCAGACCAUCACCCCGGCCACCUACCACAUAGCCUUCGGGCCGGUGAUCGACGGUGACGUCAUCCCAGACGACCCCCAGAUCCUGAUGGAGCAAGGCGAGUUCCUCAAUUACGACAUCAUGCUGGGUGUCAACCAAGGGGAAGGCCUGAAGUUCGUGGACGGCAUCGUGGAUAACGAGGACGGUGUGACGCCCAACGACUUUGACUUCUCCGUGUCCAACUUCGUGGACAACCUUUACGGCUACCCUGAAGGGAAAGACAUUUUGCGGGAGACUAUCAAGUUCAUGUACACAGACUGGGCCGAUAAGGAAAACCCGGAGACGCGGCGGAAAACCCUGGUGGCUCUCUUUACUGACCAUCAGUGGGGGGCCCCCGCCGUGGCCACCGCCGACCUGCACGCGCAGUACGGCUCCCCCACCUACUUCUAUGCCUUCUAUCAUCACUGCCAAAGCGAAAUGAAGCCCAGCUGGGCAGAUUCGGCCCAUGGCGAUGAAGUCCCCUAUGUCUUCGGCAUCCCCAUGAUCGGUCCCACCGAGCUCUUCCGUUGUAAUUUCUCCAAGAACGACGUCAUGCUCAGCGCCGUGGUCAUGACCUACUGGACGAACUUCGCCAAAACUGGUGAUCCAAACCAACCAGUUCCUCAGGAUACCAAGUUCAUUCAUACAAAACCCAAUCGCUUUCAAGAAGUGGCCUGGUCCAAGUAUAAUCCCAAAGACCAACUCUAUCUGCAUAUUGGGUUGAAACCCAGAGUGAGAGAUCACUACCGGGCAACGAAAGUGGCUUUCUGGUUGGAACUCGUUCCUCAUUUGCACAACUUGAACGAGAUAUUCCAGUAUGUUUCAACAACCACAAAGGUUCCUCCACCAGACAUGACAUCAUUUCCCUAUGGCACCCGGCGAUCUCCCGCCAAGAUAUGGCCAACCACCAAACGCCCAGCAAUCACUCCUGCCAACAAUCCCAAACACUCUAAGGACCCUCACAAAACAGGGCCCGAGGACACAACUGUCCUCAUUGAAACCAAACGAGAUUAUUCCACCGACUUAAGUGUCACCAUUGCCGUCGGGGCGUCGCUCCUCUUCCUCAACAUCUUAGCCUUUGCGGCGCUGUACUACAAAAAGGACAAGAGGCGCCAUGAGACUCACAGGCGCCCCAGUCCCCAGAGAAACACCACAAAUGAUAUCCCUCACAUCCAGAACGAAGAGAUCAUGUCUCUGCAGAUGAAGCAGCUGGAACACGAUCACGAGUGUGAGUCGCUGCAGGCACACGACGCGCUGAGGCUCACCUGCCCUCCAGACUACACCCUCACGCUGCGCCGGUCGCCAGAUGACAUCCCACUUAUGACGCCAAACACCAUCACCAUGAUUCCAAACACACUGACGGGGAUGCAGCCUUUGCACACUUUUAACACCUUCAGUGGAGGACAAAACAGUACAAAUUUACCCCACGGACAUUCCACCACUAGAGUAUAGCUUUGCCCUAUUUCCCUUCCUAUCCCUCUGCCCCUACUGCUCAGCAAUGUAAAAGAGACAAAUAAGGAGAAAGAAAAUCUCCAAACCAGGAAUGUUUUUGUGCCACUGACUUUAGAUAAAAAUGCAAAAGGGCAGUCAUCCUGUCCCAGCAGACCCUUCUCAUUGGCAUUUUCCAGUAUUGUGAGAUCAAUUUCUGACCAUAUGAAAUGUGAAAAGUAUAUGUUUCUGUUACAAUACUGCUUUAAGAUCUAAACCAUGCCAACAGAUGUUUCGUGUGACUAGGACAUCACCAUUUCAAGGAACUGUGUGUUUCCAACAUCAUGGUAGCAGCACACACUUCCAAAGCUCAGCCAGGGACACUUAAUAUUUUUUAAUUACAAUGGAGAUUUAAACAUUUUUAUGUGGGCUACACAAUGGAUGGCUCUUCUUAAGUGAAGAAAGACUCUAUGGGCUUUUACACAGCACAUGGAGCUGUAAUCCAGAAAGAAGGAAAUGCAGAAUUUUAUUAUCAAAGUAAGCGAAUUGACUGUGCAGAAAAAUUGUAGGGUUCUGUGGAAGGAGGUAUUCUGCCAGCCUGAACUAUAUUUAAGAAACUUCGUAAAAAAUAAAAAUGUAUAUAGCUGUGAGCUCAAACAAAAACUGCAGACAAACAAAAAAGAGAAAAGCUUUUAUUUGUGUUUUCAGUUUGAAAGAACUUUUAGCAAGGUUGUGCUUUCAAACACAUAUUAGUCCUACCACCUUAGUUCCUCUACAGCAAAAGAGGCUUUUCUUCUUAAUUACAUGUAAACAAAGACAUGGGAUUUUCUGACGUAAGAUUUUCAUUUGUAGGAAUAUGUGAUGUCAAAUGGAAGACUCAGAAGUUUUGUGUGGCCUAUUUCUCCCUGUCAGGUUGCACAGAUGCAUGUAGAGCAUUCUUAGGAGACCAUUGUUUUAGAAAACUUUGAUUUGUACAUGUUAGUUUUCAUGAAAUUGCAACACAGAGAUAGGUCCUAAAAGUGGAAUCUAUUUAAAACUUGUUGAAUUAGACACACACACACAGACACACACAAAGAAUCAGCAGAGAAAACAAAAUACAAGUCCUGUUCUGUAGUUCUUGCCCUUUGAAUAUAUUUGGGAAGAGUUGCUUCCUAUUUCAGGACCCUGCCAAAAAAGAAGAAAGCUUGCCUUUGGUGGGGCUGUGCCCCUUGGAGUAAAUACAGCUCUGUGUUCCCUAGCAGCUGCCGGAGGAUUUGGCUGAUGAAGUACCUGCUCAGCUUAGCUAAUCAGAUUAAAGGAAGACAUGUGUGUCUUUUGUUUAAGCACCUAGUCCCUUAUUUAUCAGUAAACAGGUUUUUAAAAAUCGUUUAUGUCAUUUAUAGGAUAAAACAUAUGCUUGUCUGAAAAUAUCACCUUUUGUGGAUUUAUCUGACCACCAAAUAACAGAUAUUAAGAAGAAUGGGGGGAAAAGGAUAGAACAUUAAAACUGCUUUGUAUAGGUUUUGGGGGAAAUUAGGAUAUCUUCACUGACAAGACACUGAAUGGAAUUUAUUCACCCAUUUUAAAUUGGUUACUUGGGGAUCAGAGAUUUGUCUCUCCAACAGCUUGUGAUUUUCUUUUUACUCAUUUUCAGAAAAGUUUGUAGUAUUACAAAGCAGCAGGAAACACAGUAGCAAUGGUUGCUCUAUAUUUUGUCUUUCGAAGAUUACUGCAUUACCAAGAAACAGUAGCCAAAGAUGUUUGAAGAUCAUGUCCCUUAGCUGCAUUUUGGGUUAUUCUAGAAAUCCAAUGUUAAAUGCCUCUACUAAAGUGGGGAUUCCCCAUAAAAAUUGUCCAGCUACCUGACUCUUUUGCAAUAACAACUUUGAUUACUGAAUCCAUACACUCAAACUAUAGUGAUAUAUCAGUGUUUGGGAGUGACCUCUAGAAAAAAGAAAACUGUUUUUAGAAAUACAUAAAAUCACUUCCAAAUCCUGUUGCUUAUGUUGGGUUAAAUUUGAAGGCGAUUCUCUAUAUAUAAAUAUGUGAAAUAUUAUGAUCUGAACUUAGCACACAUGAAGCAACAUUUCUUUGCUACACAGAGGUGUCUUGGUAAGAUUUCAUUCCCAAUUCAUUUUUCAUAGAGCUAUGAUCAGGCAAUUUCUGCAAGCAAUGUAUGACCCCACCUGAGCAACCACAAAUAGGCUCUCCAUGAAACUGCAAAGGAACUGAUGUGUGGCAUCCAUGCUGGUUUUGUCUGUCUAUAAUAUGAAUUCAAGUAUCUGUUCAUAUUUCCAAUUGUCUCCUGCUAGCAAUAUGUACCACAACAUGACAGUCUUGUGACAUCUUAAGGGAAAGAAGAGUUCCUGUUAAAUGAAUAGCUUUAGCUUUUACAGGGGAUUAUGAUUAAAAGUGAUUUAGUACAUCUUACAUGAUAUCUCAUUUCUACAUGAAAAGAAGUUAUAGAAUCUUCAUAGAGUUCCAUGAGAAAAAUAUACUUGCUAUUUAU
Molecule: small RNA, 5462 nt
Filed under: Pan troglodytes (chimpanzee)
Lineage: Eukaryota; Metazoa; Chordata; Mammalia; Primates; Hominidae
Description: processed transcript
Source: RNAcentral